UCCUACGGGAGGCAGCAGUGGGGAAUUUUGGACAAUGGGCGAGAGCCUAAUCCAGCCAUGCCGCGUGCAGGAUGACGGCCCUAUGGGUUGUAAACUGCUUUUAUACAGGAAGAAACACCCCGACGUGUCGGGACUUGACGGUACUGUAAGAAUAAGGAUCGGCUAACUCCGUGCCAGCAGCCGCGGU
This 187-nucleotide ribosomal RNA is filed under the name uncultured Gillisia sp. Its description in RNAcentral is "partial 16S ribosomal RNA". It matches the Rfam family "Bacterial small subunit ribosomal RNA", at positions 337 to 521 of the family's 1533-position model. Lineage: Bacteria; Pseudomonadati; Bacteroidota; Flavobacteriia; Flavobacteriales; Flavobacteriaceae. The record is from RNAcentral.